GUGUCACCAUAUUUGCAAACAAACGAAUUAUCCGAUUCGAUCGAUACUUUAAUAUCGAUACUUUAUCGAUUGUCGAUGAACUUUUGUCAUUGCGUGCGACUUUGUGCGAAUCAAAGGAAGUUUGGAGAUGGUUCUAAUUAAAUAUAAAUUAGAUAAUAUUUUUAAGCAUAUCUAUGUAUGUCAGAUUCCAGGUUUCCAAUCGUUUCAUUGGAAUUUGGUUUGUAAAUUUAAACUAUUAAAUUUAUCAAAUCUGAAAAUUGUGAUCGCGUUUGACAAGCCUCUUAAGCUGAAAGAUUAAUAAACAUUGUAUACCCGCGACUUCGUCAACGAAGAAUAGUAAAUUCUUAAUCUUCAGUUUGAGAACCGCUGACCAGCAGGUAAGCCGUUAACAUCAUUCGAUCAACAAAGUAAAGGACUUGAAAGGUAAUAUUUCAAUGACGUUUCGACUUUGAACACAGAAAUGGAGAAUGUGGAGAACAUCCUUUAUGUUCGCUGUAAUUGGAGGUUCGAUAACAUUGAAUGUGGGCCGUAUUAGCGACUGCGAGCUUUAAAAGCUCGUAAAACGAUCUUUAUUACGGCUAAUCGGUAAUGAUGACAGACAAAGCACAUCGAGAUUCUGUAAUUUUAUCGCAAGCCGCAAAAUGUUCGAAUGACGAAAAAUAAGGUUUGAAAAUGUAUGGAAAAAUUUGAACUCUUUCAAUAAAUAAAUUUAUGACAUUGUGCAAGAGAUCUCAA
Long non-coding RNA from Plodia interpunctella (Indianmeal moth), 735 nucleotides. RefSeq lists it as uncharacterized. The transcript has 8 exons. NCBI's taxonomy places the organism in Eukaryota, Metazoa, Arthropoda, Insecta, Lepidoptera, Pyralidae. The record is from RefSeq and is a predicted model, not a curated record.